CGCUAUGCGACCCAAGGCUGGAGACUUUCUUCAGCAAAUAUGGCUGACAAAAAUACUAGGAUGGAAGCAAAUGGACUCCUGAAACAACCAGCAAACCAGGCUGACAUCUUGUGAAACAGUGGAUGUAAAGAGUCUAGUUAGCUAAAGCUUUUACUGCAAAUUGAAUGUACAAUUUUGUAGGCUUGCCUUGCUGAUAUUUGCCAUGCAAUGCAGCUGAAGUAACGUAGCUAGCCAACUAUUUUCUUGCUUAUUGCACAGUGGAGGAUAAAAAAUACCUAUAUGUCUAUGGACGUGUAGCUAGCCAUGUAGCCGAUCUGUGUAUGGACCCUAAAACGCUUGGUAUACAUAUUAGUUCAGAACCUAGCUACAGAACCUCAGUUAUCAUAGCCAGUUGUAUCAACUUCAACGAAGCCUAUGGAUUGAGUAGAAUAUAAUGUAAUUUUGUACCAAGGAUGCAAGUCGUAUAUACAUGUGGUUCCCAAUCAAUCAAAUGUAUUUAUAUAGCCCCUUCUUACAUCAGCUGAUAUCUCAAAGUGCUGUACAGAAACCCAGCCUAAAACCCCAAACAGCAAGCAAUGCAGGUGUAGAAGCACGAUGGCUAGGAAAAACUCCCUAUAAAGGCCAAAACCUAGGAAGAAACCUAGAGAGGAACCAGGCUAUGAGGGGUGGCCAGUCCUCUUCUGGCUGUGCUGGGUGGAGAUAACAGAACAUGGUCAAGAUGUUCAAAUGUUCAUAAAUGACCAGCAUGGUCAAAUAAUAAUAAUACCAUGCAUGAGAUCCCAACAUUGUAACCUGUACAUUUACUAUAUUCACUAAUCAUGUACUCUACCUUGGCAAAUAAAGGUGCAGUUCAGGUAUGAAUGUCUGUGAGAUUCUUUUUCAGUCAUAUCCAAUACCAGGGUUAUACAAUUCCAUUCUUAGAAUGAUGCUCUGUCUGCAUGUAUAUAUAAAAAUGAUACACUUCAACAGUGUUUACCAAUCCUGGUCCUGGGACAUCAAUGGUUGUCCCAGGACUAGAAUAGACUAGAAACAUGAUUUAACUAGUUAGGCUGAUUUGUAAUACAUAUAUACAGUACCAGUCAAAUGUUUGGACACACCUACUCAUUCAAGGGUUUUUCUACAUUGUAGAAUAAUAGUGAAGACAUCAAAACUAUGAAAUAACACAUAUGGAAUCAUGUGUUAAACAAAUUUUUAAAAAGUGUUAAACAAAUCAAAAUAUAUUUUAUAUUUGACAUUCUUCAAAGUAGCCACCCUUUGCCUUGACAGCUUUGCAUUCUCUCA
This is a long non-coding RNA of Oncorhynchus tshawytscha (Chinook salmon), 1281 nucleotides long. The record is from Ensembl. Lineage: Eukaryota; Metazoa; Chordata; Actinopteri; Salmoniformes; Salmonidae.